UUUUUUUUUUUUUUUUUCCCCUUCACCGGAGGCCACUAGAUUUUUCCAGACAAUAUUUGGAAGGCUGAAAUCACAAAUCACAGACAAAAAUCACAGACAAAAAUAGAUCUUGGCAUUUUACAUAUUCAUUCUGACCCGAUCAAGAGAGAUGGGUGAACACAGUGAUGUUUAUUUGUCUGCUCUAUGGAAUUCAGAAGAAUUUUGAAGCCGUUGCUUUUGAAUGUUGGCGAGUAAGAACAGUAUUUAUAUUGGACAGCUUUAUUCUCUUUCUACUGUUUCUGGACAAGCAGUGUGGACCCAGUAAACACUCCUGAAUUUCAGCCUGACUCUGAGGCUCAGUUUGACACGGGAAUUAAAGAUGGCCUCUCAUUGCCUCAGUAGGAGGAUGAAUUAACUGAACUUUACAAAUUACCAGGAAGGAAAGUAUUAUUUGCCAGGGACUCCACAGUCUUCUCUUCUUGCAUGGCCUGCGUUACAUGCGUGGGCAUCUCCACCCACGCCUUCCUGUCUGGGCUGAAAGGUGACGAGUGGGGAGAGCACCUCAUGAAAGCUUCCUUGGAGGUACCAGAAUCUUCUGUCACCUGUGGUUCUUUGAAGCACAGAGUCCUGGCUUCCUGUUUAUGUCACUGUGCCUGGAAGGAGAGAGCUAAUGGGGCUACUAGUGGUUCUUAGGGUAGGCGGAGAAAUUUCCUGUGACUUCCUGUAACUUCUUCUGUCAAGGGACUGCCUCCUAGCCCACAGCCUGCUGAUGUCUCAUUAUGGUUCAAAGAAGAGGUCAAAGACAACGGGCCCUGCUUGGCUACCACCAGAUCUGUGCUCAAAGGCCGUACCAUGUGAGCCCGAGGCUUCGCUUUAAAUUUAAAUUCCCUUCCUUAAAAUGCCCUAGUUCUGUCUGCGUUGGUGUUCCUGUUAGAGAGAUGGACUCCAUUCGACAGCCAGCAGUGUAUGGAUUCCCGUGGGUUCCAGCGAUGGUCUACAAGUGGGUCCGUGGAGAGAGCCACGGAUAAAUAGGCCCAAGAUUGGAAUAGGAGCUUUUCAGGCACAUGCGCACCUAUGUACACAGGAGAUACACAGGCACACAAAUGCACAUGAACACACAAACACACACAGACACACAUACACAUAAUUUUUUUUUUUUUUUAUUGUAUCUAGGAGCACACAUGUCAAAGCCUCCCUAGGGUUAUACACCCAGGAAACAUACAAAAAUGUUCCCAGCAGUGCUUUUUGAUAUAGGAAAACAACCGGAAACGAGGCAAAUGGCCUUUGGUAGGAAAGCAAAUAACCAAAGUGUGACACAUUUCACCUACUAU
This 1310-nucleotide long non-coding RNA is filed under the name Sus scrofa (pig). Its description in RNAcentral is "lncRNA (ENSSSCG00015078670.1)". Lineage: Eukaryota; Metazoa; Chordata; Mammalia; Artiodactyla; Suidae. The record is from RNAcentral.